CUCCGGUUGAUCCUGCCGGACCUGACUGCUAUCGGAUUGGUACUAAGCCAUGCGAGUCAUUGUAGCAAUACAAGGCGGACGGCUCAGUAACACGUAGUCAACCUAACUCGUGGACGUGGAUAACCUCGGGAAACUGAGAAUAAACCACGAUAGAUCAUAGUGCCUGGAAUGGCUUAUGGUCCAAACAGUUUACUGCCAUGGGAUGGGACUGCGGCCUAUCAGCUUGUUGGUGAGGUAAUGGCCCACCAAGGCUAUAACAGGUACGGGCUCUGAGAGGAGAAGCCCGGAGAUGGGUACUGAGACACGGACCCAGGCCCUAUGGGGCGCAGCAGGCGAGAAACCUUAGCAAUGUGCGAAAGCACGACUGGGUCAGUCCGAGUGAUUCCUGAUAAAGGAGUCUUUUAUCUGUCCUAAAAGCACAGGUGAAUAAGGGGUGGGCAAGUCUGGUGUCAGCCGCCGCGGUAAUACCAGCACCUCGAGUGGUCAGGAGGUUUAUUGGGCCUAAAGCAUCCGUAGCCGGCUACGCAAGUCUCCGGUUAAAUCCAGCUGCUCAACAGAUGGGCUGCCGGAGAUACUACAUAGCUAGGGAGCGGGAGAGGUAGACGGUAUUCUGUGGGUAGGGGUAAAAUCCACUGAUCCAUAGAGGACCACCAGUGGCGAAGGCGGUCUACCAGAACGCGUUCGACGGUGAGGGAUGAAAGCUGGGGGAGCAAACCGGAUUAGAUACCCGGGUAGUCCCAGCUGUAAACGAUGCAAACUCGGUGAUGCAUUGGCUUAUGGCCAAUGCAGUGCCGCAGGGAAGCCGUUAAGUUUGCCGCCUGGGAAGUACGGACGCAAGUCUGAAACUUAAAGGGAUUUGGCGGGGAGCA
This 869-nucleotide ribosomal RNA is filed under the name uncultured archaeon. Its description in RNAcentral is "bacterial SSU rRNA". It matches the Rfam family "Archaeal small subunit ribosomal RNA", at positions 1 to 878 of the family's 1478-position model. The record is from RNAcentral.